Molecule: unclassified non-coding RNA, 394 nt
Filed under: uncultured Entrophospora
Lineage: Eukaryota; Fungi; Glomeromycota; Glomeromycetes; Entrophosporales; Entrophosporaceae
Description: SSU rRNA
Rfam family: Eukaryotic small subunit ribosomal RNA
Source: RNAcentral
AGCAGCCGCGGUAAUUCCAGCUCCAAUAGCGUAUAUUAAAGUUGUUGCAGUUAAAAAGCUCGUAGUUGAAUUUCGGGGUCGGUAGAUUGGUCAUGCCUCUGGUAUGCACUGGUCUUACUGGCUCCUCCUUCCUGAUGAACCGUAAUGCCAUUAAUUUGGUGUUGCGGGGAGACUGGACUGUUACUUUGAAAAAUUAGAGUGUUUAAAGCAGGCUAACGCUUGAAUACAUUAGCAUGGAAUAAUGAAAUAGGACGUUCGAUCUUAUUUUGUUGGUUUCUAAGAUUGACGUAAUGAUUAAUAGGGAUAGUUGGGGGCAUUAGUAUUCAAUCGUCAGAGGUGAAAUUCUUGGAUUUAUUGAAGACUAACUACUGCGAAAGCAUUUGCCAAGGAUGUU